This 74-nucleotide transfer RNA is filed under the name Oryctes borbonicus. It matches the Rfam family "tRNA". From Rfam's summary of the family: Transfer RNA (tRNA) molecules are approximately 80 nucleotides in length. Their secondary structure includes four short double-helical elements and three loops (D, anti-codon, and T loops). Lineage: Eukaryota; Metazoa; Arthropoda; Insecta; Coleoptera; Scarabaeidae. The record is from Rfam by way of RNAcentral.
GACUAUGCGGUGUAGUGGUUAGCACGCCUGUCCGGAAAACAGGAGGUAUUAGGUUCGAAUUCUUAUUGGGGUUG